CCCUAACGAAGAGGGCAAUACCAGGCGGUGGCGUGGGGUUGCCAUUCGGGCUGAUGUUCUUGAGCAUCUCAUCGGUCGUCUCUCUAGACUGCAUAACGCUGGUGCGCCCCCCCGCAGAAGCAGGCCUACGUGGUCAUCAGCAACAAGAAGUCGUGCGGCGAGGGCAAGAAGACGAGCAAGGCCAUGUCGACGCCCACCAUCCUGACCAAGGACUCGCAGAGCCUCACGGCCAAGCCAUCGCGAAUUCAUUCAAUUCUCAAAAGCAUGGCUCAGCCACCCAUCACGGUCGCUAGAAGCUGGCCAGGCGUGGGGGCGACAACGGCAAGCACUCCCCUAGGGACCAUCCUGACUGGAGCAACAGUGGGUGGGAUCACGCCAUCAGGGAUAAGAAAGUAAACAAGCUCUACAUUGCUCUUCAUUCUUUCUGAUCAUAGAUUGGUCUCGAGAUAUUGGUGCUCUUUUAAUCCCCGAUUCCUCUUAGCCCUAAGAAAAAAGCUCUGUUAUGUUCAUUCUGAGCACCAAUAUCUCUCUCUAUCUCUCUCUAAUUCUGUUUUAUGUGUGUAAGUACUCCCUCCGUUUCGCAAUGUUUGUUCAUGCCCACCAUUACGUACAAACCAAAAAAUACUGAAAUCGAGUGAAAAAUGCAUAGAGAUGACCAUGCUACCCCUAAUCAAUGUAAGAAUGAGAGCAAGUAACUCACCAGGGUUGGAGUAAAUACAUGCAUGCACUCAAGGGUAUAGCAGGAAAAUGAACUAUAAAACACUCUUGGUUACCGCAAUGGACAAAUAAUUUGAGAUAGAUAUUCUCGAGGCUAUGGACAAAUAUUGCGAAACGGAUGGAGUAGUAGACAACAUGUCUAUUUCAAAAUAAACUCCCUCUAUAUUAAAUAAAUCAAGAUGAACUCCCUCUAUAUUGAAUAAAUUGAGAUUGAGUUGUUGCAAAUAUUUGUUCAAUGUUGUGAGAUGAUUGGAAUUAAUCUUCAAUGAUAUAAGAUGAUAUGAAUAAAGGUGGCUC
Molecule: long non-coding RNA, 1014 nt
Organism: Phragmites australis (common reed)
Lineage: Eukaryota; Viridiplantae; Streptophyta; Magnoliopsida; Poales; Poaceae
Exons: 3
Source: RefSeq, a predicted model, not a curated record